RNAcentral lists this ribosomal RNA (505 nucleotides) under uncultured bacterium. RNAcentral describes it as "partial 16S ribosomal RNA". It matches the Rfam family "Bacterial small subunit ribosomal RNA", at positions 28 to 507 of the family's 1533-position model. The record is from RNAcentral.
GACGAACGCUGGCGGCGUGCCUAAUACAUGCAAGUAGAACGCACAGUUUAUACCGUAGCUUGCUACACCAUAAACUGUGAGUUGCGAACGGGUGAGUAACGCGUAGGUAACCUGCCUGGUAGCGGGGGAUAACUAUUGGAAACGAUAGCUAAUACCGCAUAAUAUUGAUUAUUGCAUGAUAAUUGAUUGAAAGAUGCUAUUGCAUCACUACCAGAUGGACCUGCGUUGUAUUAGCUAGUAGGUGAGGUAACGGCUCACCUAGGCGACGAUACAUAGCCGACCUGAGAGGGGGAUCGGCCACACUGGGACUGAGACACGGCCCAGACUCCUACGGGAGGCAGCAGUAGGGAAUCGUCGGCAAUGGACGAAAGUCUGACCGAGCAACGCCGCGUGAGUGAAGAAGGGUUUCGGAUCGUAAAGCUCUGUUGUAAGAGAAGAACGGGUGUGAGAGUGGAAAGUUCACACUGUGACGGUAUCUUACCAGAAAGGGACGGCUAACUACGUG